UUUCUCCCCUCAAAAUGGCUCGUUUUCCCCCCAAAACAGCAUUUUCCAGCCCCAAAAUGGCCUUUUUUUGCCCCCAAAUGACCCUUUUCCCCCAAAAAACCAACCAUUUUUGCCCCAAAAUUGGCCAUUUUUGCCCUAAAUGCCCAUUUUCCCCCCAAAAAUGACCAUUUUCUCCCCCAAAUAGACCCUUUUUGCCCCUAAACUGGCCAUUUUUGCCCCAAAAUGGCCCUUUUUCCCCCCAAAAUUGCCCCUUUUCCCCCAAAAAUUGCCCUUUUUGCCCCAAAACAGCUCAUUUCCAGCCCCAAAAUGGCCUUUAUUGCCCCAAAAAUGGGCUCUUUGCACCCCAAAAUGGCCUUUUUUGCCCCAAAAUGACCCAUUUCCAGCUCCAAAAUGACCAUUUUUGCCACCAAAACACCCAUUUUCCCCCACAAAUUGACCCUUUUUGCCCCAAAACUGGCCAUUUUUGCCCCAAAAUGCCCCUUUUCCACCCAAAAAACGACACUUUUGGCCCCAAAAUGGCCUUUUUUGCCCCUAAAAUGACCUUUUUUUGCCCAAAAUUGCCCCUUUUUGCCCCAAAAUGCCCCAUUUCCAGCCCAAAAAUGGCCUUUUUUGACCCCAAAACACCCAUUUCCCCCCCCAAAUUGACCCUUUUUGCCCCAAAAUGGCCAUUUUUGCCCCAAAAUGGCUCUUCUUCCCCCCAAAACAGCUCAUUUCCAGCCCCAAAAUGGCCUUUUUGCCCCAAAAAUGGCCUUUUUUUGCCCCCCAAAUGACCUUUUUUUGCCCAAAAUUGCCCCUUUUUGCCCCAAAAUGCCCCAUUUCCAGCUCCAAAAUGGCCCUUUUUGCCCCCAAAAUGGCCAUUUUUGCCCCAAAAUGCCCCAUUUCGAGCCCCAAAAUGGCCUUUUUUGCCCCCAAAAUGGCCUUUUUUUGCCCAAAAAACGACCCUUUUUGCCCCAAAAUUGGCCUUUUUUGCCCCAAAAUGGCCCUUCUCCCCACCAAAACAAGUCAUUUCCAGCCCCAAAAUGCCCCUUUUUGCCCAAAAUUGCCCGUUUUUACCCCAAAAUGCCCCAUUUCCAUCCCCAUAACGUUCCUAUUCGGCUCCUUUCCCCCCCAUUGGGGCCUUAUGACUCUUAUUAAUUCAAUCUGCCCCAAAAACCCACUUUUUUACCCCAAAAAAAGCCCUAUUUUCUGGCUUUGUGCUUCAAACAGCCCCAAAACCAGCGUUUUUCACCCCAAAAUCAGCCCCUAUGGAGCCCUAAAGGCCCUAAAAUCGGCCUUUUUAACCCCAAAAACGACCCAUUUCAGCCUCAAAAUGGAGCUUUUUGUUCCCGGUCCCAAAAUUGCCCUUUUUAGCCCCAAAAUGGGGCUGAUUUCGGACCUUUAGAUUUAAGGAUUUUGGUUAAAAAUAGACAAUUUUAAACCCCAAAAAUGGCCCCAAAUUCCCAAAAUGGCCCUUUUUGACCCCAAAAUUUCUUCACUUUUUUCACUAAUGUACCAAAAUUGCCGUUUUUCACCCCAAAAUCAGCCCCUAUGGAGCCCAAUGUGGCUCCUUAAAGCCCUAAAAUCGGCCUUUUUAACCCCAAAAACGACCCAUUUCAGCCUCAAAAUGGAGCUUUUUGUUACCAGUCCCAAAAUUGCCCUUUUUAGCCCCAAAAUGGGGCUGAUUUAGAAUUCAAGAUUUUGGUUAAAAAUAGACAAUUUUUAAUGCCAAAAAUGGUCAUUUUUGGUUCUUUUUUUAAUGCUUUUGACCCCAAAAAUGGCCCCAAAUUCCCAAAAUGGCCCUUUUUGACCCCAAAAUUUCUUCACUUUUUUCACUCCUUAUUUACCAAAAUUGCCUUUUUUCACCCCAAAAUCUUCCCCUAUGGAGCCCUAAAGGCCCUAAAAUCGGCCUUUUUCACCCCAAAAUCAGCCCCUAUGGAGCCCUAAAAUCGGCCUUUUUCACCCCAAAAACGACCCAUUUCGGCCUCAAAAUGGAGCUUUUUGUUACCAGUCCCAAAAUUGCCCUUUUUAGCCCCAAAAUGGGGCUGGUUUCGGACCUUUAGAAUUCAGGAUUUUGGUUAAAAAUAGAUGAUUUUCUACCCCAAAAAUGGUCAUUUUUGGUUCUUUUUUUAACGCUUUUGACCCCCAAAAUGGCCCCAAAUUCCCAAAAUGGCCCUUUUUGACCCCAAAAUUUCUUCACUUUUUUAACUCAUGUACCCAAAUUGCCUUUUUUCACCCCAAAACGAGCUCCGGCCCUAAAAUAAACUCCGGCCUUAAAAUAGAAGCA
Molecule: long non-coding RNA, 2263 nt
Filed under: Coturnix japonica (Japanese quail)
Lineage: Eukaryota; Metazoa; Chordata; Aves; Galliformes; Phasianidae
Description: lncRNA (ENSCJPG00005006334.1)
Source: RNAcentral